UGGCCAAAGGGCUCUGAGAGGAAGAGAUGUGACUCGCUCCUAGACUACAGCCAUUGACACCACCAGACUCGGCAGUGCCAUCUCUCUCCUGUGGCACGUGUGGAGGCCGAGCCUGAAAACGGUGUCUACCGAACGCCCGGUGAUGAGCAAGAAGGAAUUCUGAACUGCAACUGCAACUGAGAACUUGAACGAUCCUGUCUUCAGGUGGACUUUAUGAACGAACAGUUCAAUCCAGCUCCAGUGAAUUACUCUUUGUGUGACCUGGAUCUGAAACUAUCAGUGGGGCAGUUGGAAGCUCAUGUCUACACAUGGCUUUCCAGGGUGGCGUCUUUGCAGCAUUCAGAAAUCCUCUUCCGAAGAGCCCUUUGCUGUAUCCCCCCAUGCCUCCCCACCCCCACCC
RNAcentral lists this long non-coding RNA (400 nucleotides) under Papio anubis (olive baboon). Its description in RNAcentral is "lncRNA (ENSPANG00000040783.1)". Lineage: Eukaryota; Metazoa; Chordata; Mammalia; Primates; Cercopithecidae. The record is from RNAcentral.